AUUUUUCAAAACACUAAAAUAUUUCUUACAUAUUAUUUAUUGAUUUUUCUUGACCGUUUCGGAGUUUCCAGCUCUUUUGUUUGGCCUUGCCUAAAAUCACAAAAGCUUAAUUGAAAAUUUAUGAUGAAGUCUCAAGCUCGACAGCAUUUGCAGAUGCUGCUAGGAAAUAUGAUUUCCCCGCCACUUUUCCCGCUUAAUUGGAUUCAUUUUUUAUGCUUCCUCAAAUGUCAACUCGCUGAUUUCAAUUUGAAUAAUUGAAAGGAAUAAAAAGAAAAGCUUGGAGAUUAAUUUGCCAAUCCGUUUGGAUGUCGCAGCUAAUUCUCUCGCCGCCUAAUUGUCUAAAACAAUUUAUGAGGGUCCUUCUCGCUUAUUUGAGUUCGCUGUUCUCAGUUCCCAGUUAGCAGUUUAUAAAUACUUUUGCCCUUUGGUAAUUCCUCAUUCGAAACGUAACGAGCUUGGCAAUUAAUUAGCUAAUGAAAUUAUAUUUGAGUGCCCGAAACCUUUGGCCGCACAACUUGUUGACACUUUACAUUUUUUUUCGUUUUUGGCGCCAAAGUUCCUGGAACGCGUUUUUCGUAUUUUCAUCAAAUGGCAAUUACAUUUCCCGUUGGCAAGCCUUUAAGAACCGACUUGCCUUGCCCUUGGGCCACAUUUGUUGACGUGUUGAGUAAUUAUGCUAACAAAGCUCAAGAAUUUAAAUGCCGUGCACACUUAAAGUGUCAGGUCCUUGUGCAGGCGAAGGCUUGAAAUAAUUAUGAAUCCAAGUUGGCUCAUUAGCGAGGGAACAGCCUAUAUGCAUAGUAUGUUCUUAAAAGAGUAUUAUUUAAUCUUACUAGGAAUUGUAAGAUUUUAAAGUCAGAAAAAUGGAAUACAAAACCACAAUACAAAAUACCAAAAUACAAAACCAAAAAAAAUUUGGCAUAAGCUAUUGGAAUCCCUAAAUCAUCAAAAUAAACACGACAUUAUUUCAAAGCUUUUCCCUCUUUGUCUUUGGUUUUUAAGCUGUCAAAAUAUUAUUUUAAAACGAAAGUGGGCCUCGAAUUUAUUCAACGCGACCAUGAAUCACAUUUAGGCCAUACCACGGACGAACUAAAGAGGAUGCUACCAAUAAAUCAGUGUUAGUUGGUGGCCAUAAAAUGGCAAAUAGAAACACAUUGCCCGUACGCGUUGUUUGGUUUUGAUUUUGUCGCCGGCAGACUGCACAUCGUGUAUAAGCCACGUUGACGAAAGCUCAUUAGUGUGAGGGCGUUGUUUUCAAAUGGACGCCUGAAGCAAGGACACGGGACCCAGCUCAUUGGCAGCUCAUCAAACUGAUUUAAUGGCCGUGUGACAAGGAUGCGUGACAGGAGCCAGUGGCCGGCCACGUACGAGCAAUUAAAAUAGUUUACCAACUAAGCAAUUAUAACAAUUAUGGGCGGCACAAACUGUGGUCAAUUCCGAACUAUGCUUGCUUAUCACAUUCAAAUUGCACAGAAGAUCAGAGAGGGCCACAAAGAAAUUGUAUGGCAUCUGACGGAAAUGAAAGCAUUCGGGGCGGAAAAAAGCAACUAGGGGAAUCAAAUUACUUGGCCGGCUCGCAAAGUGGUUAAUUUCAGGCUUGGGGUUGGCUGGACUUGGUCUAAGCCAAUUUGUGGUGUAUUGUGCAGUUAAUAAAUAGUUGCCAAUAUCUCCGAAAAAA
Drosophila ananassae is the source of this 1678-nucleotide long non-coding RNA. RefSeq lists it as uncharacterized. The transcript has 2 exons. NCBI's taxonomy places the organism in Eukaryota, Metazoa, Arthropoda, Insecta, Diptera, Drosophilidae. The record is from RefSeq and is a predicted model, not a curated record.